CGGCCCCCCCGAUCAUGGAUCCCGGCAGCGGCGGUGGCGGCGGAGGCGGUGGUGGCGG
This 58-nucleotide microRNA precursor is filed under the name Mesocricetus auratus (golden hamster). RNAcentral's name for it is "miRNA (ENSMAUG00000007335.1)". The record is from RNAcentral. Lineage: Eukaryota; Metazoa; Chordata; Mammalia; Rodentia; Cricetidae.